GAAAUGCGAUAAGUUAUGUGAAUUGCAGAAUUCAGUGAAUCAUCGAAUCUUUGAACGCACCUUGCGCUCCUUGGUAUUCCUUGGAGCAUGCCUGUUUGAGUAUCAUGAAAUCUUCAAAGUAAAUCUUUUGUUAACUCAAUUGGUUUCUACUUUGGUAUUGGAGGUCUUUGCAGCUUCACACCUGCUCCUCUUUGUUCAUUAGCUGGAUCUCAGUGUUAUGCUUGGUUCCACUCGGCGUGAUAAGUUAUCUAUCGCUGAGGACACUGUAAAAGGUGGCCAAGGUAAAUGCAGAUGAACCGCUUCUAAUAGUCCAUUGACUUGGACAAUACUUUUAUGAUCUGAUCUCAAAUCAGGUAGGACUACCCGCUGAACUUAAGC
Molecule: unclassified non-coding RNA, 378 nt
Filed under: plant metagenome
Description: partial contains 5.8S ribosomal RNA, internal transcribed spacer 2, and large subunit ribosomal RNA
Rfam family: 5.8S ribosomal RNA (bases 1-105)
Source: RNAcentral